AGAGUUUGAUCCUGGCUCAGAACGAACGCUGGCGGUAUGCCUAACACAUGCAAGUCGAACGCGAACGGAAUCUUCGGAUUCCAAGUAGAGUGGCGCACGGGUGAGUAACACGUGGAUAAUCUGCCCUAAGGUCAGGGAUAACACUUCGAAAGGGGUGCUAAUACCGGAUAAGCUCACGCCUUCCUCGGAAGAAGUGAGAAAAGAUUUAUUGCCUUAAGAUGAGUCCGCGGUCCAUUAGCUAGUUGGUGGGGUAAUGGCCUACCAAGGCUGCGAUGGAUAGCUGGUCUGAGAGGAUGAUCAGCCACACUGGAACUGAGACACGGUCCAGACUCCUACGGGAGGCAGCAGUGGGGAAUUUUGCGCAAUGGGGGAAACCCUGACGCAGCAAUACCGCGUGAAGGAUGAAGGCCCUUGGGUCGUAAACUUCUGUCAGAGGGGAAGAAAUACUCGCAAGAGUGCUGACGGUACCCUCAAAGGAAGCACCGGCUAACUCCGUGCCAGCAGCCGCGGUAAUACGGAGGGUGCAAGCGUUGUUCGGAAUUAUUGGGCGUAAAGAGCAUGUAGGCGGUCUGUUAAGUCUGGUGUGAAAGCCCGGGGCUCAACCCCGGAAGUGCAUUGGAUACUGGCAGACUUGAGUAUGGGAGAGGGAAGUGGA
RNAcentral lists this ribosomal RNA (655 nucleotides) under uncultured bacterium. RNAcentral's name for it is "bacterial SSU rRNA". It matches the Rfam family "Bacterial small subunit ribosomal RNA", at positions 8 to 665 of the family's 1533-position model. The record is from RNAcentral.